GUCAAAGCCUGCUGUGCGCAUGCUGCCGCACUGGGGCGGCUGUGACACACUAAAUGGAACGGGUCCUCACAUAAUUAAUCCCGCCUGUGUUUGCCUCGCUAUGACGCGUCAAAACGUUAUUAACUAUAAAACAAUAGCUUCGUUUCCUUGCUGGUGCUUCCGCAAUGAAACCACGGUGGUCUUUGUGCGUGCGGUUAUGCGUUAUUCUAUGCGUUGUACCGGCACGCCAACUAGACAGCGUUAGCUACGGUGAGCUAAUGCUAAAUGCAGUUAGCUAGCGUUUAUAACAUUAUGGCUAACGUAACGGUAGCUGCUGGUGAUUCACACGUACAGCAGACGCGAGGCAGCAUUGACGUUGGCUUUACUUGGAGUCCCGCUUCUGCUCACCUGAAAUAAUGUAAGUCCAAUAUAAGUUUUUAUUUAUUCAUUUAUUUUCCUUUGCUCGUAGCGUGCUAAUAAAUCUCCGCUUUGUUUUCCCGCUAUCUUAGCUUAGCUUAGGCAGGCUAGUCGCUUUCUGUGUCUGUUUGGUGGCAACAUGUUUGGAAAUAUCUGGACAGUUAAAUGUACUUUUGUGACCAUUACACUGUGAAAUUACAGCCAACAACAAUGAGAUUAAUUUAAACAAAUAUAUCAAAGGGAAGUGCCAAACUAACGUACCCAAAAAAUGGUGGUAAAAUGUCCUAUGGACUUACAUGUUCUAAUAGACUUUAUUAACAUGCAUCAUACCAGAGUGGAGGAAACCUUAAACAAAAGAAACAGUAAAAUGAGCAUACUUGAACCACUUUCAUACUAAUUUAAUUGAUCUGUAACACCAAAUUAAAGUUAAUAAGCAACAUGCAUAUAGUAAGAACUCUUUCAUGUUUCAGCAAGAAAGCGCGUUGCCAACUAGUAACGUUAGGAAACUUACGUUGUAUUUUGGGUUUCUUGAAGAAAUGAUACUUGACUUUUGUUGUUCCGUGUCUGUACCCUGUAGGGUUAAAUGCACUUAUUGUAAGUUGCUUUCGAUAAAAGUGAGUCAAAUGCAAAUCACAUAAGCGUGGUAUGUUUUCCAAACCAAAUAUUUUACGUUCAUGCAAUUUCAUGAGUGCUGCAGGACACUGGAUGAGCAGCGUCGUCAUCUUGCCAAGGUCGCGCUGAUGCCACAUAGAGCAGGCGCCAUAUUUGAGUUUGAUGACCGUGGCAUUGGGGCUCACUGUGGGGUCGAGAAGGCUACGUCCCCCGCCGUUUUCGAAUCCAAAACGAUGGAGUGAAGCAAGAUAGCGACAGAUAGACGGAUGUGGCCUGUGAAAGGGAAGUUUGGUGUCUCCUGCUGGUUGCCCGCGCGACCGGCUCCGGAUGAGCGGAUGACUGAAUAAAUCAGCGGAUCCUCACUGACCGUGGAAAAUAAUUUGUAAACUGAGAGCUUUGACCUCUGAGGCUAGUAAUAUUUCUGUAGUCAUGGUAACAUCAAUGGAAAAAUCUUCAUGCGUAUUCAAAUGUAUCCUCUUGUGCAUUUUCUAGAUGAAUAUGGAGUUGUGCAAAAACAUCCAUCGACAGAAGCCUCUGUGCUCUUUGCACCCUCAAACAAAUGAUUUGGUGGAAAAGCUCAAUGGUACAAUUCAAUGGUAAAAAUUAUGGGUGUAACGCUUCAUUUUAACGAUUCGAAUCGCGAUUCAUGGUUUUCGAUUCAUGGACGAUCUGGGUUAAUUUAGAACGAUUCGAUUGAGUGACUUGAAAUCGAUUCAGUAACUUUACUGGACAGUGCAGGCAAAGUUUCUGAGAUCCCUGUUGUUUCUUGUAAGGAAAUCAGGUUUAAAUUAAUUAUGGAUAUUAUAAACAAGCAAACAACAAUUAAUGGCAAAUGUAUUAACCUUUUAUUUGAAUCAAGUGCCAUUUUUAAUGUAAACAUUACACAUUGUUUGCAUCAAUUCACAGAACCCCGGAUUUUCAACCACAUUGUCGGGUCGCAUGUCUUUACAGAUAAACUUUGCAAUUGUUACUGUGAUGUUGAGUUUGGUGCUGGCGAGGCCUGAGGCGUCUGCAGAGCUGGAGUUACCUUCUGCUGCUGCAGCGGUGACGCUGCUAGAGGUCCUGACUGUCGGCGUUGUUUAAUCCCACGGCGCCUUAGUAGAUGGCCGGAAAGAUUCGUCGUGUUUCCGUAGUUUUUUAAUUUGUCUUCUACAUAUUCUACAAACAGCGACCGACUUA
This is a long non-coding RNA of Gasterosteus aculeatus aculeatus (three-spined stickleback), 2187 nucleotides long. The record is from Ensembl. NCBI's taxonomy places the organism in Eukaryota, Metazoa, Chordata, Actinopteri, Perciformes, Gasterosteidae.